AGAUUGAACGCUGGCGGCAUGCCUUACACAUGCAAGUCGAACGGCAGCACGGGAGCAAUCCUGGUGGCGAGUGGCGAACGGGUGAGUAAUACAUCGGAACGUGCCCAAUCGUGGGGGAUAACGCAGCGAAAGCUGUGCUAAUACCGCAUAAGAUCUACGGAUGAAAGCAGGGGAUCGCAAGACCUUGCGCGAAUGGAGCGGCCGAUGGCAGAUUAGGUAGUUGGUGAGGUAAAGGCUCACCAAGCCUUCGAUCUGUAGCUGGUCUGAGAGGACGACCAGCCACACUGGGACUGGAGACACCGGCCCAGACUCCGUA
This 316-nucleotide ribosomal RNA is filed under the name uncultured soil bacterium. RNAcentral describes it as "bacterial SSU rRNA". It matches the Rfam family "Bacterial small subunit ribosomal RNA", at positions 26 to 342 of the family's 1533-position model. The record is from RNAcentral.